GAGGAAUAUUGCGCAAUGGGCGAAAGCCUGACGCAGCCAGACCGCGUGCAGGAAGAAUGUCGUAAGACAGUAAACUGCUUUUGUAUGGGAGGAAACUUAGGGACGUGUCCUUAACUGACAGUACCAUACGAAUAAGCACCGGCUAACUCCGUGCCAGCAGCCGCGGUAAUACGGGGGGUGCAGGCGUUAUCCGGAUUUACUAGGUUUAAAGGGUCCGUAGGCGGUUUUUCAAGUCAGUGGUGAAAGCCUUGAGCUUAACUUAAGGAAUGCCAUUGAUACUGAUUGACUUGAGUAUGGUUGAUGUUGGCGGAAUGCAUCAAGUAGCGGUGAAAUGCUUAGAUAUGAUACAGAAUGCCGAUUGCGAAGGCAGCCGACAAAACCAGCGCUGACGCUGAGGGACGAAAGCGUGGGGAGCGAAC
Molecule: ribosomal RNA, 419 nt
Filed under: uncultured bacterium
Lineage: Bacteria
Description: bacterial SSU rRNA
Rfam family: Bacterial small subunit ribosomal RNA
Source: RNAcentral